AGAGUUUGAUCAUGGCUCAGGAUGAACAGCAUAGCGGCAGGCUUAACACAUGCAAGUCGAGGGGUAUAGUUCUUCGGAGCUAGAGACCGGCGCACGGGUGCGUAACGCGUAUGCAAUCUACCUUUUACAGAGGGAUAGCCCAGAGAAAUUUGGAUUAAUACCUCAUAGUAUGUGAGAAUCGCAUGGUUUUCACAUUAAAGUCACAACGGUAAAAGAUGAGCAUGCGUCCCAUUAGCUUGUUGGUAAGGUAACGGCUUACCAAGGCAACGAUGGGUAGGGGUCCUGAGAGGGAGAUCCCCCACACUGGUACUGAGACACGGACCAGACUCCUACGGGAGGCAGCAGUGAGGAAUAUUGGACAAUGGGCGCAAGCCUGAUCCAGCCAUGCCGCGUGCAGGAUGACGGUCCUAUGGAUUGUAAACUGCUUUUGUACAGGAAGAAACACUCCCUCGUGAGGGAGCUUGACGGUACUGUAAGAAUAAGGAUCGGCUAACUCCGUGCCAGCAGCCGCGGUAAUACGGAGGAUCCAAGCGUUAUCCGGAAUCAUUGGGUUUAACGGUCCGUAGCGGUUUAAUAAGUCAGUGUGAAGCCCAUCGCUCAACGGUGGAACGGCCAUUGAUACUGUUAAACUUGAAUUAUUACGAAGUAACUAGAUAUGUAGUGUAGCGUGAAAUGCUUAGAGAUUACAUGAUACAAUGCG
This 700-nucleotide ribosomal RNA is filed under the name uncultured bacterium. RNAcentral describes it as "bacterial SSU rRNA". It matches the Rfam family "Bacterial small subunit ribosomal RNA", at positions 8 to 715 of the family's 1533-position model. The record is from RNAcentral.